GUGCGUAGGCGGCUUUUUAAGUCGGAUGUGAAAUCCCUGAGCUUAACUUAGGAAUUGCAUUCGAUACUGGAAAGCUAGAGUAUGGGAGAGGAUGGUAGAAUUCCAGGUGUAGCGGUGAAAUGCGUAGAGAUCUGGAGGAAUACCGAUGGCGAAGGCAGCCAUCUGGCCUAAUACUGACGCUGAGGUACGAAAGCAUGGGGAGCAAACAGGAUUAGAUACCCUGGUAGUCCAUGCCGUAAACGAUGUCUACUAGCCGUUGGGGCCUUUGAGGCUUUAGUGGCGCAGCUAACGCGAUAAGUAGACCGCCUGGGGAGUACGGUCGCAAGACUAAAACUCAAAUGAAUUGACGGGGGCCCGCACAAGCGGUGGAGCAUGUGGUUUAAUUCGAUGCAACGCGAAGAACCUUACCUGGCCUUGACAUACUAAGAACUUUCCAGAGAUGGAUUGGUGCCUUCGGGAACUUAGAUACAGGUGCUGCAUGGCUGUCGUCAGCUCGUGUCGUGAGAUGUUGGGUUAAGUCCCGCAACGAGCGCAACCCUUUUCCUUAUUUGCCAGCGGGUUAUGCCGGGAACUUUAAGGAUACUGCCAGUGACAAACUGGAGGAAGGCGGGGACGACGUCAAGUCAUCAUGGCCCUUACGGCCAGGGCUACACACGUGCUACAAUGGUCGGUACAAAGGGUUGCUACCUCGCGAGAGGAUGCUAAUCUCAAAAAGCCGAUCGUAGUCCGGAUCGCAGUCUGCAACUCGACUGCGUGAAGUCGGAAUCGCU
RNAcentral lists this ribosomal RNA (770 nucleotides) under uncultured bacterium. RNAcentral describes it as "bacterial SSU rRNA". It matches the Rfam family "Bacterial small subunit ribosomal RNA", at positions 567 to 1336 of the family's 1533-position model. The record is from RNAcentral.